This 66-nucleotide transfer RNA is filed under the name Williamsia sp. RNAcentral's name for it is "tRNA-Met". It matches the Rfam family "tRNA". Rfam says of the family: Transfer RNA (tRNA) molecules are approximately 80 nucleotides in length. Lineage: Bacteria; Bacillati; Actinomycetota; Actinomycetes; Mycobacteriales; Nocardiaceae. The record is from RNAcentral.
GGGUAAAUAAUGUAUUAUAUUUGACUCAUAAUCAGGGAGUCCCAGGUUCAAAUCCUGGUGGGCCCA